Molecule: ribosomal RNA, 497 nt
Filed under: uncultured bacterium
Lineage: Bacteria
Description: partial 16S ribosomal RNA
Rfam family: Bacterial small subunit ribosomal RNA
Source: RNAcentral
UCUGCCCGCUGGCGGCGUGCCUAAUACAUGCAAGUCGAGCGAACAGACGAGGAGCUUGCUCCUCUGACGUUAGCGGCGGACGGGUGAGUAACACGUGGAUAACCUACCUAUAAGACUGGGAUAACUUCGGGAAACCGGAGCUAAUACCGGAUAAUAUAUUGAACCGCAUGGUUCAAUAGUGAAAGACGGUUUUGCUGUCACUUAUAGAUGGAUCCGCGCCGCAUUAGCUAGUUGGUAAGGUAACGGCUUACCAAGGCGACGAUGCGUAGCCGACCUGAGAGGGUGAUCGGCCACACUGGAACUGAGACACGGUCCAGACUCCGACGGGAGGCAGCAGUAGGGAAUCUUCCGCAAUGGGCGAAAGCCUGACGGAGCAACGCCGCGUGAGUGAUGAAGGUCUUCGGAUCGUAAAACUCUGUUAUUAGGGAAGAACAAAUGUGUAAGUAACUAUGCACGUCUUGACGGUACCUAAUCAGAAAGCCACGGCUAACUACGUG